UGCCCAUCCCGAGUGCCACGGCCCGUAUCCCACACGCAGGCUGCUGCCGGGGGGUGCUGGGCGCUGCCUCGCUCCUGCCUGGCCCCCCCCCCCAAAACGGCCCGGCGGGAAGGAGGGAUGCUCCUGCCGUGGUCCCACACCAUGGGGAAGGGCUCUCCUCCUGCAGCCCCAACGUGCCAUCCUUAAGCGGCCACGGAGAAGGGCACAGCCGGUCGAUGGGAUUUGGCCGGGUCCUCUGUGUGCUUGGACAUCCCUCUGCCUGUCCAGCCUUGCUGCUGGGUACGUGACCCCAGCAUGUGCUGCAAGCCCCGCUCCCCAUUCCAGCCCAGCGAAGCACCUGCUUUUCUGGCCAAACCAGACUCCAGCAGCCAGGUCGGGAGUCUGGGUGUGAUGGUAUGAGCACACGGUGUCCUUCCCUGAAGCUCCUGCCUGCUCACAGCUCAGUCUUGUCCUGCUCCCGGAGCCUGCCGGCACCCCCGAAAGUAGAGCAGGACGUGGGAAGGGAGAAGUCGUGGCUGAGCAGGGCUGGAGAGAUGCAGCUCUACAAGGACAUCCAUCUCCUGCACUGUCCAUUCCCGGGCCAAAGGGGCUGAGCUAGUGUGUAGCAAGGGGGCAGGGGCAUAAUAAGGGAUGCAGGGAGGUUUCACAGAGGCCAGAAGUGUUUUCUCUAACUCUGUGUUUGUUUGUGCUCAGGUCAGAGCCUUCCCAGCCCCGGAGAGGUGCUUGCUGCCGAGGAGCUGCUUACUUUGGCCUCAGCUGAGAGGCCUCAGCCCAGGGUAAAGAAGCCCCAAACACUGCCCUGUUUGUGCUUCGGGAAGGGGCGUUUGUGGCUGUCCUGUCACGGUGGGAGCAGGCGAAAGAGCUGAAGGUUGUUUUCACCCCAGUGCCUGCCACAGGGGAUUCUCCAAACAGGAUCCCACCUCAUCCAGAUACGUGCAGAGCAGCAGGUUAGAUUCCCUGGAUCAGGUCUGUGUUCUGGUCCCAGGGAAUCCUGGGCCACCAGCAGUGUGUGAGCCAGGAGGUGCAUCCCCUGUGCAGUGAUGUCCUUGCUGUGGGCAGCCCGUGACACCGAGGGAUGCUCCUGGGCCCCUCCGGCACAGCCCCUGCUCAUGGCCUCACCACCCAGCCCCCUGAGCCCUCCUGUCCUUCACAGCAUCUUCCAUCACCCAGGAAACCUUCUUGCAAGCUCAGGCUGGACAUUAUGGGAGCACUAGAAGCUCCUGGUGGGGAUGUCACUGGUAUCAGUAUCCAAGCUCCCUGUCCCAGGGCACAACCUGCCAUAUGGAGAGGAUCCUGCCCCAGGAUGCAAGCUGGAAAUUUGCUGCAGACCCCAUAGAUGCAUCCCCAGGUGGACGGCCCCUACUCAGGACAGAGAAGACCUAAAUGCUGGUGAGUUGCCAUUUUCCCUUGUGGCAGCAUCUGAGGGACAGAGGGGACAGGGUGGGCAAGACUUGGGAGCUUACGAGGGAGAACAGGGACAAUGGGAAGGGAGACAGUGGGAAGGAGCAGCCAGAGAAGGGGGAAACUUGUACCCUCCCAGACAAUGAGCUGAGAUGAGGAGGUGCAAAGGCUGCUGGAGAAACCCAGUAAUGCUGCUCAAGGCUGGGCAGAGCAUCCAGGAAAUUGGGAUGGGGUCUGAGGAGCCUGGGCUGGACUGGCAUCUGCCAGGGCAAGGUUUAGGAUUCACUGAGCAGAGGGAGAAGGAUGUGACGACUGCUGUGGAACUCAGUUGAGUACCUGGGGUUGGAGAGGUGCGAUGUGGCACACGUUUACAGGGGCGUGACCUCUGGAAGUCACAGUAUGUGGGGUAGCUGUGAAACUGAGCUUCCUCAGUCCUGGCAUUUCCAGUCUGCACGGAUCAGGGAAGCCUCAUGGCAAAACACCCUCCUCACUGCCCACUCUGGGCUCUGGGGAGAGGGACAAGCCAGCCCAGCCAUGGCCCUGCCCAGCUCCAGGGCAGGGGGCAGCAGGGGCCUCUUCUGUAGGGGAACUGCAUGAAGGCCAAAGUAUCAUGUAGUAAAGAUGCUUUUGUUUUCUAAUCUGCUUAAAAAAAAGUUUCCCAACCCUAGGAAACUGGAUGUCAGCAGUGUGCUCUGCCAGCUGCAGCGUGCUCCAAGGUGGGCCAAGUCCAACCUUCAGCUGCCCAGGGGGGCUCAGACAGCAGCUGUAGGGAAGAACCUGGGGGGACCAAGGCACCCACCACCUCUGUUCACCUCACUGGAAGCCCCUCGUCCCACACCACAUUUCCAUCAUGUGAUCAAGAGUUAAUCUUGACUGUCUGUGUCUCAGCUGCCAGGAGCAUUUGGACUUUCCCUGUUCUGCCAGCCCUGUCAGAUGGCAGGAGAAGCUCCUCGGCUGCCGACCACAUUUGUCUUCUCCAGCAGGCAGUGGCCUCUGCACUGGUGUCACAGCACUGAGCCGAGAUGCUGCUGAAGGUUGUACCCAGAACACCUGCCAGCCGGGCUAGGAGGAGGUGGGUCCCUUCUUGAAGCCAUUUUCCAUCCAUUCCCAAGCACUGGCUGUAGGAAAUGGUGUUUUCUGCUAUGCAGAGGCUUCGUGGUUCUGAAACAGGGCCGGGAGAUGCUGAGGCUUCCCGCUGUACCCUGCCUAGGCAUCCCUGCUGGAGCCCAGAGGGAUCUCCUGUUUCUAGACAAAGUUGAAAUUUCAAUGAAGCCACAUGAAAUGAGCAAAUCAAAUACAAGUGUUUUCAAAAGUGGCA
Corapipo altera (White-ruffed manakin) is the source of this 2719-nucleotide long non-coding RNA. RefSeq lists it as uncharacterized. NCBI's taxonomy places the organism in Eukaryota, Metazoa, Chordata, Aves, Passeriformes, Pipridae. The transcript is spliced from 4 exons. The record is from RefSeq and is a predicted model, not a curated record.